AGGACGAACGCUGGCGGCGUGCUUAACACAUGCAAGUCGAGCGGAAAGGCCCUUCGGGGUACUCGAGCAGCGAACGGGUGAGUAACACGUGAGCAACCUGCCCUUAGCUCCGGGAUAGCUCCGGGAAACCGGAAUUAAUACCGGAUACGACCACGGCCGACAUCUGCUGUGGUGGAAAGGAUUCCGGCUAAGGAUGGGCUCGCGGCCUAUCAGCUAGUUGGUGGAGUAACGGCCCACAAGGCGACG
This 246-nucleotide ribosomal RNA is filed under the name uncultured bacterium. Its description in RNAcentral is "partial small subunit ribosomal RNA". It matches the Rfam family "Bacterial small subunit ribosomal RNA", at positions 26 to 278 of the family's 1533-position model. The record is from RNAcentral.